GACGAACGCUGGCGGCGUGCUUAACACAUGCAAGCCGAGCGGAAAGGCCACUUCGGUGGUACUCGAGCGGCGCACGGGUGAGUAACACGUGAGUAAUCUGCCCCUGGCUUUGGGAUAGCCACCGGAAACGGUGAUUAAUACCGGAUAUGACACAUUCUCGCAUGAGUUUGUGUGGAAAGUUUUUCGGCCAGGGAUGUGCUCGCGGCCUAUCAGCUUGAUGGUGAGGUAAUGGCUCACCAUGGCUUCGACGGGUAGCCGGCCUGAGAGGGUGACCGGUCACACUGGGACUGAGACACGGCCCAGACUCCUACGGGAGGCAGCAGUGGGGAAUAUUGGACAAUGGGCGGAAGCCUGAUCCAGCAACGCCGCGUGAGGGAUGACGGCCUUCGGGUUGUAAACCUCUUUCAGUACCGACGAAGCGCAAGUGACGGUAGGUACAGAAGAAGCACCGGCCAACUACGUG
RNAcentral lists this ribosomal RNA (463 nucleotides) under uncultured bacterium. RNAcentral describes it as "partial 16S ribosomal RNA". It matches the Rfam family "Bacterial small subunit ribosomal RNA", at positions 28 to 507 of the family's 1533-position model. The record is from RNAcentral.